Molecule: small nuclear RNA, 103 nt
Organism: Antechinus flavipes (yellow-footed antechinus)
Lineage: Eukaryota; Metazoa; Chordata; Mammalia; Dasyuromorphia; Dasyuridae
Source: RefSeq, a predicted model, not a curated record
AUGUUCCCUUGGUAGCAGAUAUAUUAAAAUUAAAACAAGAUAGAGAUUAGCAUGGCCUCUGAACAAGAAUGACAAUCAAAUUCAUGACGCAUUCCAUUUUUUU